This is a long non-coding RNA of Etheostoma spectabile (orangethroat darter), 325 nucleotides long. RefSeq lists it as uncharacterized. NCBI's taxonomy places the organism in Eukaryota, Metazoa, Chordata, Actinopteri, Perciformes, Percidae. The transcript has 3 exons. The record is from RefSeq and is a predicted model, not a curated record.
CUGGCUUUUGUUUCUCAUGUCUUCCUUGUUAGCUCCAUGCAGUUCCAUCAUGCUGAACUGCUCUCGACCUGACCCGCCUUCCCUGCUCCAGGCACUCGACCCAAUCUUCAACAUGAAAUCCAUCCGACCUGUCCUAAAUGUGUCAACCCCCACCAACGUCAGCAUUGACUUCCUUCUGUUUGGCAUUUUGGGGGUGGAUGAAAAGGCCCAGCUCCUGAAAACGUAUAUCUGGCAAAAAAUAAAAUGGAGAAAUGAGUUUGUCAGGUGGGACCCAGAACAGUGCGGUUCUUCAUGGAUUACAAUUCCAAGGAAUCUGCUCUGGGUA